CAUCAGGACGGUACAUUAAACAGCCAGGCACAUCGUCUUCAGAUACUGUGUGUGGUGAGUGUGGUGAUAACACAUACUCAAAUGGAUCAUUCACAUCCUGAAAACCACACACACAGUGUGAGUUGCUGGGUCUUGAUGUCAUAAGAAAAGGAUCAACAUCUUCUGACACCAAAUGUGCUGAAAGAAAAA
Molecule: long non-coding RNA, 189 nt
Organism: Alosa alosa (allis shad)
Lineage: Eukaryota; Metazoa; Chordata; Actinopteri; Clupeiformes; Clupeidae
Exons: 3
Source: RefSeq, a predicted model, not a curated record